RNAcentral lists this ribosomal RNA (468 nucleotides) under uncultured bacterium. RNAcentral's name for it is "partial 16S ribosomal RNA". It matches the Rfam family "Bacterial small subunit ribosomal RNA", at positions 28 to 507 of the family's 1533-position model. The record is from RNAcentral.
GACGAACGCUGGCGGCGUGCUUAACACAUGCAAGUCGAACGGAAAGGCCCUGCUUUUGUGGGGUGCUCGAGUGGCGAACGGGUGAGUAACACGUGAGUAACCUGCCCUUGACUUUGGGAUAACUUCAGGAAACUGGGGCUAAUACCGGAUAGGAGCUCCUGCUGCAUGGUGGGGGUUGGAAAGUUUCGGCGGUUGGGGUUGGACUCGCGGCUUAUCAGCUUGUUGGUGGGGUAGUGGCUUACCAAGGCUUUGACGGGUAGCCGGCCUGAGAGGGUGACCGGCCACAUUGAGACUGAGCUACGGCACAGACUCCUACGGGAGGCAGCAGUGGGGAAUAUUGCACCAUGGGCGGAGACCUGAUGCAGGAACGCCGCGUGCGGGAUGACGGCUUUCGGGUUGUAGACCGCUUUCGACUGAGACGAAGCGUGAGUGACGGUCAUGGGUAGAGAAGCACCGGCUAACUACGUG